RNAcentral lists this ribosomal RNA (439 nucleotides) under uncultured bacterium. RNAcentral's name for it is "partial 16S ribosomal RNA". It matches the Rfam family "Bacterial small subunit ribosomal RNA", at positions 339 to 795 of the family's 1533-position model. The record is from RNAcentral.
CUACGGGCGGCAGCAGUGAGGAAUAUUGCACAAUGGGGGGAACCCUGAUGCAGCAACGCCGCGUGGAGGAUGACGCAUUUCGGUGUGUAGACUCCUUUUAUAUGUCAAGAAAAUGACGGUAGCAUAUGAAUAAGCACCGGCUAACUCCGUGCCAGCAGCCGCGGUAAUACGGAGGGUGCAAGCGUUACUCGGAAUCACUGGGCGUAAAGGACGCGUAGGCGGGCUUGUAAGUCAGGUGUGAAAUCCUACAGCUUAACUGUAGAACUGCACUUGAAACUACGAGCCUAGAGUAUGGGAGGGGCAGAUGGAAUUAGUGGUGUAGGGGUAAAAUCCGUAGAUAUCACUAGGAAUACCUAAAGCGAAGGCGAUCUGCUGGAACAUAACUGACGCUAAGGCGUGAAAGCGUGGGGAGCAAACAGGAUUAGAUACCCGGGUAGUC